RNAcentral lists this ribosomal RNA (254 nucleotides) under uncultured bacterium. RNAcentral describes it as "partial 16S ribosomal RNA". It matches the Rfam family "Bacterial small subunit ribosomal RNA", at positions 524 to 776 of the family's 1533-position model. The record is from RNAcentral.
UACGUAGGGUGCGAGCGUUAAUCGGAAUUACUGGGCGUAAAGUGUGCGCAGGCGGCCGCGCAAGUCGAGUGUGAAAGCCCCGAGCUUAACUUGGGAAUUGCGCUCGAAACUACGUGGCUGGAGUGUGGCAGAGGAAGGUGGAAUUCCACGUGUAGCGGUGAAAUGCGUAGAGAUGUGGAGGAACACCAAUGGCGAAGGCAGCCUUCUGGGCCGAACACUGACGCUCAUGCACGAAAGCGUGGGGAGCGAACAGG